RNAcentral lists this transfer RNA (72 nucleotides) under Loxodonta africana (African savanna elephant). It matches the Rfam family "tRNA". From Rfam's summary of the family: Transfer RNA (tRNA) molecules are approximately 80 nucleotides in length. Their secondary structure includes four short double-helical elements and three loops (D, anti-codon, and T loops). Further hydrogen bonds mediate the characteristic L-shaped molecular structure. tRNAs have two regions of fundamental functional importance: the anti-codon, which is responsible for specific mRNA codon recognition, and the 3' end, to which the tRNAs corresponding amino acid is attached (by aminoacyl-tRNA synthetases). tRNAs cope with the degeneracy of the genetic code in two manners: having more than one tRNA (with a specific anti-codon) for a particular amino acid; and 'wobble' base-pairing, i.e. permitting non-standard base-pairing at the 3rd anti-codon position. The record is from Rfam by way of RNAcentral. Lineage: Eukaryota; Metazoa; Chordata; Mammalia; Proboscidea; Elephantidae.
CUCUGGGUAGUGCAAACCGUUAACAUGCUUGGUUGCUAACCAAAAGGCUGGACGUUCGAGUCCACCCAGAGA